This 240-nucleotide unclassified non-coding RNA is filed under the name soil metagenome. RNAcentral's name for it is "partial contains 5.8S ribosomal RNA, internal transcribed spacer 2, and large subunit ribosomal RNA". The record is from RNAcentral.
AACCUAGCACACCUGCGGUGUGUACCUGCGGAAGGAUCAUUACUGAGUUUACCGCUCUAUAACCCUUUGUGAACAUACCUUACUGUUGCUUCGGCGGGCAGGACGGCGGCCUCGGCCCCGGCCUCCCGGCCUCCGCCCCCUCUGCGGGGCGGCGGGCGCCCGCCGGAGGAUAACCAAACUCUGUUUUAACGUCGUCUCUUCUGAGUGGCACAAGCAAAUAAAUAAAAACUUUUAGCAACG